GUUGAAAUCUUUUUUUAAGUGUUAAAUUCUUACUUUAGCUUAGGGUUUUGUUCUCUCACCG
RNAcentral lists this transfer RNA (61 nucleotides) under Dugesia japonica. RNAcentral's name for it is "tRNA-Lys". Lineage: Eukaryota; Metazoa; Platyhelminthes; Tricladida; Dugesiidae. The record is from RNAcentral.